UCUGACUUUCUCUCUGCCCUCUCUAUCCCUUAUAAGUGAUUACAAGUAGUACUAGGUAAGAGAAGAUAAGUUCUUGUAUACUAUUAUUGUAAUACGCCCCUUUUCAUAG
Gavialis gangeticus (Gharial) is the source of this 109-nucleotide long non-coding RNA. RefSeq lists it as uncharacterized. The transcript has 3 exons. The record is from RefSeq and is a predicted model, not a curated record. NCBI's taxonomy places the organism in Eukaryota, Metazoa, Chordata, Crocodylia, Gavialidae.